This is a long non-coding RNA of Papaver somniferum (opium poppy), 2598 nucleotides long. RefSeq lists it as uncharacterized. The record is from RefSeq and is a predicted model, not a curated record. Lineage: Eukaryota; Viridiplantae; Streptophyta; Magnoliopsida; Ranunculales; Papaveraceae. The transcript has 12 exons.
UCUCUUCACUUCUUCUUCUUCAGUUUCCUCUCGUCAGUCGUCUCUUCCGCCCCUCUCUGAAGAAAACCCUAACCACCUCUACUGAACCUAUACGCAAAAUUUUAAUGAAGUAGAUUAAUAGAUCUCUCUGUAAAAAAACCCUAAAGCUAUUGUUGCUGAAGUUUUUGAAUCUCAAAGCUGCUGAGUUUGUAGAAAUAGGGUUUUAGAGUUUAUUUAUGAAAACUGGCGGCGAUUACUAAACUUUAUCUUCUCAUCAAAUCUGUUCUCGAUCUUCAAAUCAAGAUUGAGAACAGAACCCUUUUCUCUAUUUUCAUAGUACUUCAUUUCCAGAUUUUUCAUUCCUCAUUUUUUCUUUUUAUUGUUUUGGUUUGGAUUUAAUUUGUGAGUCGAGGGUUUCGGAUUUAAUUGAUAAUUUGGUACAACCCAGAUGGUCAAGGUGUUGUCUGAACAAAAAAAGGUGUAGGAGAACACAAAUGGGUCGUAUCAUAUUAACACUGCUUAGUCCAAAUGGAUGAGAUGCAGAUGAUUAUGAAACUGUGUUGCAGUGGGAGUUGGCUCAGAAAAGAGGGAAGGUUAUGGACAUAAUUGAUGCUGGUGCUGUUAUUGAAUUGGUAAGGGAAGGUGGAGGAUGCAGUUAUAUUGUGAAUAUGAAUGAGGGCUUUACUUUCGUCAGUUGAGUAAUAAAUGGAAUUGACUAUUUAGGUUUGUGCAUUUGAUAAUUGUUGAAUGGGUUAGAGUUUUAUACCCACCAAGAAAUCUGAAUACAAGGACAACAAUGUGGCAAAGGAUGCAUCGGCAUUUAUAUAUCAUUUAGGUAGGGGAAAAGCUCAUGCCUUUGAUCAUCCCAUCCAAUUUGCUUUGCUUUUCUUUGCCACACCACAGCUCCAGGCGAAUAUAGAUCCUCUGGACAAAGAAGUUGAAUUUUUAUCUCGGGAGAAGUUGUGUUAUGAAGCACAGAUAUUGAGGGAUGGAUCAUUUAUUCAGCCUGCACUCUCUUUCUACCGGUUGAGGGUUGUUUGGUUGGUAGAUCUUGUAGGCGGGUUCAAAAUGCCCUUACCAUAGUGCUGUCCUAUGGAGCUUGCUUGUAUGCCUGAACAUUGUGUCGAAGAUGCCAUGGAACUGCUCAUUUUUGCAUCUCGGAUACCUAGAGCGAAUGAUGGGUUCAUGCUGGAUGAUUUUAUGAACUUCAUCAUAAUGUUUAUGGGAAAGAUGGUAGAAGUCUUGAUCUGCUGGAUGCCAGAAAGAAGUGGUUCAUCUUCAACAACUUUCCUUUUUGAGGGUCAUUAAUUUGUCGUGGAGUAUCUUGUGAGGAAUCUUUUGAAGCUUUACGCUGACAUUGAGUUUACUGGAUCACAUACUCAGGUUUUAUGACAAGUUCAACAUACGUCAUAAUAUUGCUGAACUUUUGGAGUACUGAUGGUUUAUCAAAAGUGAUUGUAGUAGUGGUAAAAACAGGGUCUUUUCAGACUUGUGAAGAUUGCCAAAAAAGAGGAGAAGGGAGUGUAUUUGAACUUUCUGAACUUCCUGGUCAGCGAAAGUAUAUUUCUUCUAGCCGAAAGUCUAAACAGAAUUCUGGAACUGAAAGAGAUAGAAAAAGAGAUGGCUAAUACCGUGGAAUGGGAAAGAAGAUCAGCUCAAGUGAGGCAAAAAACAACCCGACAGUUCCAUUCUCAAGAGAAUAUCAUCCUAAUUGGUGAUGGAAGAUGUAGGCAUGCUAGCACUUACUUCAGAACAGAUUACAAUGCCUUUCUUCUUCCAGAGAUAGUAAGGUUGAAAGAGUGGCAAGUAUGCUUAAUUACUUUUUGCUACAACUUGCAGGCCCUUAACGGAAAUCUCCUACUCUAAAGGGCCCUAAGAAGUAUGAGUUCCAUCCAAAGAUACUGCUUAAGCGGAUGUGUUUGGCAUGAAAAUGUCCAGCAAUAACUAUAUGUGGAUUGAUUGGCAUCUGCUUGUUGCUGACGAAUGCCAUAAUUCUCUAAUGGAGAAACUGAUGUUUUGAACAUUUUUUGGUUUCUUUCCAUUCAAACAGUCUCUUUCCCAAAUGAUGUGUUGAUUGUUUAAGUGGUUUGUUUUACAGGACCUCAAAAUUGAUCCUAGUGAUGCAGUUUGUACUACCUCAUAGGAGUUUGUGUUAUGUCUACUGAAAAUGUAUGUAUCCUGUUAGUGGUUUAAAGCUUCAAAGUGAGUUUGGGCAUUUAGAUUGUCUAAGGAAGAUUCUCAACAAGGAAGUGGUGGCAGAACCUUUCUUCUCAAUUGAGCGAGUUAGUUAGCGAUUGAAGAUAUGAAUGGUGAAGUGUGGCAGGUGCUGUUGGUAAGAAGGUGGUAGUGAGCAUCAAGUGACUUAACCCAUGGCAGGAAAGACCAAGUAGAGGCAACAAGUCAAACAACUCUCAAAAAUCUACUGGUUCAGUCUCAUGGAAUUUUUGUAAAAAUAAAUAAAUUUCUUGUGUUAGUGGUGAUUAUUUUGCAGAGUAAAGACAUAUCAAUAGAACUUACAAGUUCAAUGCCUUCACUAAUUUUAACUAGUGUAUGACAUGAGUGUUAAAAUGUGGAUAGUUUGCGGAUUGAGAAGGCCUAAGGCCUGUAUUUCAGGUUUCA